GGUUAAGCGACUAAGCGUACACGGUGGAUGCCCUGGCAGUCAGAGGCGAUGAAGGACGUGCUAAUCUGCGAUAAGCGCCGGUAAGGUGAUAUGAACCGUUAUAACCGGCGAUUUCCGAAUGGGGAAACCCAGUGUGAUUCGUCACACUAUCAUUACGUGAAUACAUAGCGUAAUGAAGCGAACCGGGGGAACUGAAACAUCUAAGUACCCCGAGGAAAAGAAAUCAACCGAGAUUCCCCCAGUAGCGGCGAGCGAACGGGGAGGAGCCCAGAGCCUGAAUCAGCAUGUGUGUUAGUGGAAGCGUCUGGAAAGGCGCGCGAUACAGGGUGACAGCCCCGUACACAAAAGCGCAUGUGCUGUGAGCUCGAUGAGUAGGGCGGGACACGUGGUAUCCUGUCUGAAUAUGGGGGGACCAUCCUCCAAGGCUAAAUACUCCUGACUGACCGAUAGUGAACCAGUACCGUGAGGGAAAGGCGAAAAGAACCCCGGCGAGGGGAGUGAAAAAGAACCUGAAACCGUGUACGUACAAGCAGUGGGAGCCCCACCACUAAGCCAGUGGUGAACUCCACAUACGCAUCCUUUGCUGAGGAUACGGUUAACGGAGCGAAAGCGACGUUCAACCGCAAAAGAAGCAGAGGGGGCUUAGUGGUGGGGUGACUGCGUACCUUUUGUAUAAUGGGUCAGCGACUUAUAUUCUGUAGCAAGGUUAACCGAAUAGGGGAGCCGCAGGGAAACCGAGUCUUAAUUGGGCGUUAAGUUGCAGGGUAUAGACCCGAAACCCGGUGAUCUAGCCAUGGGCAGGUUGAAGGUUGGGUAACACUAACUGGAGGACCGAACCGACUAAUGUUGAAAAAUUAGCGGAUGACCUGUGGCUGGGGGUGAAAGGCCAAUCAAACCGGGAGAUAGCUGGUUCUCCCCGAAAGCUAUUUAGGUAGCGCCUCGUGAAUUCAUCUCCGGGGGUAGAGCACUGUUUCGGCUAGGGGGCCAUCCCGGCUUACCAACCCGAUGCAAACUGCGAAUACCGGAGAAUGUUAUCACGGGAGACACACGGCGGGUGCUAACGUCCGUCGUGAAGAGGGAAACAACCCAGACCGCCAGCUAAGGUCCCAAAGUCAUGGUUAAGUGGGAAACGAUGUGGGAAGGCCCAGACAGCCAGGAUGUUGGCUUAGAAGCAGCCAUCAUUUAAAGAAAGCGUAAUAGCUCACUGGUCGAGUCGGCCUGCGCGGAAGAUGUAACGGGGCUAAACCAUGCACCGAAGCUGCGGCAGCGACGCUGAUGCGUUGUUGGGUAGGGGAGCGUUCUGUAAGCCUGUGAAGGUGUGUCGUGAGGCAUGCUGGAGGUAUCAGAAGUGCGAAUGCUGACAUAAGUAACGAUAAAGCGGGUGAAAAGCCCGCUCGCCGGAAGACCAAGGGUUCCUGUCCAACGUUAAUCGGGGCAGGGUGAGUCGACCCCUAAGGCGAGGCCGAAAGGCGUAGUCGAUGGGAAACGGGUUAAUAUUCCCGUACUUGGUGUUACUGCGAAGGGGGGACGGAGAAGGCUAUGUUGGCCGGGCGACGGUUGUCCCGGUUUAAGCGUGUAGGUGUGUGUUCCAGGUAAAUCCGGUUCACUUUAACACUGAGGCGUGAUGACGAGGCACUACGGUGCUGAAGCAACAAAUGCCCUGCUUCCAGGAAAAGCCUCUAAGCAUCAGGUAACAUCAAAUCGUACCCCAAACCGACACAGGUGGUCAGGUAGAGAAUACCAAGGCGCUUGAGAGAACUCGGGUGAAGGAACUAGGCAAAAUGGUGCCGUAACUUCGGGAGAAGGCACGCUGACAC
RNAcentral lists this ribosomal RNA (1817 nucleotides) under Salmonella enterica. RNAcentral's name for it is "partial 23S ribosomal RNA". It matches the Rfam family "Bacterial large subunit ribosomal RNA", at positions 1 to 1757 of the family's 2925-position model. The record is from RNAcentral. Lineage: Bacteria; Pseudomonadati; Pseudomonadota; Gammaproteobacteria; Enterobacterales; Enterobacteriaceae.